GACGAACGCUGGCGGCAGGCUUAACACAUGCAAGUCGAGCGGACCUUUCGGGGUCAGCGGCGGACGGGUGAGUAACGCGUGGGAAUAUGCCCUUCUCUACGGAAUAGUCCUGGGAAACUGGGGGUAAUACCGUAUACGCCCUUUGGGGGAAAGAUUUAUCGGGGAAGGAUUAGCCCGCGUUGGAUUAGGUAGUUGGUGGGGUAAUGGCCUACCAAGCCGACGAUCCAUAGCUGGUUUGAGAGGAUGAUCAGCCACACUGGGACUGAGACACGGCCCAGACUCCUACGGGAGGCAGCAGUGGGGAAUCUUAGACAAUGGGGGCAACCCUGAUCUAGCCAUGCCGCGUGAGUGAUGAAGGCCUUAGGGUUGUAAAGCUCUUUCAGCUGGGAAGAUAAUGACGGUACCAGCAGAAGAAGCCCCGGCUAACUCCGUG
This 433-nucleotide ribosomal RNA is filed under the name uncultured bacterium. Its description in RNAcentral is "partial 16S ribosomal RNA". It matches the Rfam family "Bacterial small subunit ribosomal RNA", at positions 28 to 507 of the family's 1533-position model. The record is from RNAcentral.